This 353-nucleotide long non-coding RNA is filed under the name Zea mays. RNAcentral's name for it is "long non-coding RNA NONZMAT002916". The record is from RNAcentral. Lineage: Eukaryota; Viridiplantae; Streptophyta; Magnoliopsida; Poales; Poaceae.
CACGUUCGCGUAUGGAAGACAGAACUGACGCCACGAUCUCGCCCACGACGCAGGGAAAUCCGAUGUCUGUGCCCACACUCCCCUUGCCGAACACCUGCGCACCCUCUCCUCUCCCCUCUAUUUCUCCAGCCACUAGUACCCGACGCCUCCAAAACCAGUGCGCGGUCCAUUCACAGCCGUUGUUCGUCGGACCCACGCCGUCACUGCUCGUCCACCAAGACCAGCGCCCUCUCGUUGCUCCUCACCUGGUAUGUCCGCAUCGUCGCUCCUACCUGCCGGCGCUGUCAAGCCUCCGCUGGUGCCACCGUGACCUGCCUUCUUCCUCGUCCCCGGCGGACUUUAUCAUCUCUGGU